RNAcentral lists this ribosomal RNA (253 nucleotides) under uncultured bacterium. Its description in RNAcentral is "partial 16S ribosomal RNA". It matches the Rfam family "Bacterial small subunit ribosomal RNA", at positions 524 to 776 of the family's 1533-position model. The record is from RNAcentral.
GACGAAGGAUGCAAGCGUUAUCCGGAUUCAUUGGGUUUAAAGGGAGUGUAGGCGGCCCUAUAAGUCAGUGGUGAAAUCUCUCGGCUUAACCGAGAAAUUGCCAUUGAUACUGUAGGGCUUGAGUACAGUUGCCGUUGGCGGAAUAUGACAUGUAGUGGUGAAAUACAUAGAGAUGUCAUAGAACACCGAUUGCGAAGGCAGCUAACGAAACUGUAACUGACGCUGAGGCUCGAAAGUGCGGGGAUCAAACAGG